This 476-nucleotide long non-coding RNA is filed under the name Actinidia chinensis (golden kiwifruit). RNAcentral's name for it is "long non-coding RNA (ACHI_LNC005085)". The record is from RNAcentral. Lineage: Eukaryota; Viridiplantae; Streptophyta; Magnoliopsida; Ericales; Actinidiaceae.
AAGACCUGGCCACAAAUGAAAAACAAAUAUCAGGAAACACAAAAUUAAUAAAAACCUUAUUUUAUUUCAAAUUGGGACAUAAGAAAAGCAAAAAGCAAUAAUGAAAAAAAAUAAAUUGUAAUGAAAGAAUGUGUACAAGAAGAAGAGAGAGAGAGACGAGUGGUGGCGGAUUCUGAUCUCGGAAGUGCAAGUUUGGUAGAGUGCUGAAAUGUAUAAAACGCCGUCAUUUUGUACACUUCAAAAGCACUAUACCGAAUUUGCACUUCAGAUGAUCCGAACUCAAUGGUGGGAGAGGUAAAAUUGGGGAGGUAGUAAGAGAGUAUUUUGAAAGUAUAAAAGUCAUUAAUAAGAUAGGAAUCUUGAAUACAAAUAUCAUUGGGCGCUUAUUUCCUGGUCAAAAUUACGCUAUUGCCCUUUUAGGCAUGACACGCAUGAUUCUGUGGGAGCAUGUGGCGUGCAAGGAUUAUUCGACUAUG